UCUGUAUUGAUCUUCCUCAGGCGUAAGAGCAUGUACUGAGAGGUAUGAAAACUGUAGAAAAAUUGUCCUUGUCCAAGGGUUGCAAAUUGCAGUCAUUGCCUGGACAGGUCUGAACAUGCCUCAACUCGGUGUGGAAAUGAGAAGCAAAAGACAGAGGCUCCUUUUAUAGGGGUAAGACUCCGCCCCUGCAUGAAACAGCAAAACUUGCAUUGACUUAUUUUUAAAAAAGAAAAAAAGAAAAGAAAAAAGAAAAAAGAUAAAAAAAA
Long non-coding RNA from Thalassophryne amazonica, 266 nucleotides. RefSeq lists it as uncharacterized. The record is from RefSeq and is a predicted model, not a curated record. NCBI's taxonomy places the organism in Eukaryota, Metazoa, Chordata, Actinopteri, Batrachoidiformes, Batrachoididae. The transcript is spliced from 2 exons.